RNAcentral lists this transfer RNA (64 nucleotides) under Pericapritermes sp. A TB-2017. Its description in RNAcentral is "tRNA-Glu". It matches the Rfam family "tRNA". Rfam says of the family: Transfer RNA (tRNA) molecules are approximately 80 nucleotides in length. Their secondary structure includes four short double-helical elements and three loops (D, anti-codon, and T loops). Further hydrogen bonds mediate the characteristic L-shaped molecular structure. tRNAs have two regions of fundamental functional importance: the anti-codon, which is responsible for specific mRNA codon recognition, and the 3' end, to which the tRNAs corresponding amino acid is attached (by aminoacyl-tRNA synthetases). tRNAs cope with the degeneracy of the genetic code in two manners: having more than one tRNA (with a specific anti-codon) for a particular amino acid; and 'wobble' base-pairing, i.e. permitting non-standard base-pairing at the 3rd anti-codon position. RNAcentral also lists the same sequence under 1 other name. The record is from RNAcentral. Lineage: Eukaryota; Metazoa; Arthropoda; Insecta; Blattodea; Termitidae.
AUUUAUAUAGUUUAAAAAAAACAUUACAUUUUCACUGUAAAAAUAAAGAAAACUUUUAUAAAUA